This is a long non-coding RNA of Brassica napus (rape), 2269 nucleotides long. RefSeq lists it as uncharacterized. The record is from RefSeq and is a predicted model, not a curated record. NCBI's taxonomy places the organism in Eukaryota, Viridiplantae, Streptophyta, Magnoliopsida, Brassicales, Brassicaceae. The transcript is spliced from 5 exons.
GAAGGAUAAGAUUCUCCUCGCCUUUACCUCUCCGUCUUCUCCGAUCGAAGAGCAAAGAAACCGAGCACUUCUUACUGUUUUCGUUUCAGCAUCAAAGCAAGCACCAGAGAUCCUUCCAUGCUCUCUAAGAUCUUAACCAGUUCGUUCUCGAUGUUAUCUUAUUAAACAAACGUCUUUCUCUCUGUCUCCCCCUCGAUUCAAUUCAACAGUGUAAUUUAAUUGAUCUCAAUUCAUCUCGCUUACUCCUUAUCAGUUCAGAUUUUUCAACUUCCCCCAUCAAUCGAAGCCACUAUACAUAUGGCGUCAAGGCUGUGUGUUGCAAGGAGACCGUUUUGGGAAGUCUUUUUUUUUUUUGGAGGCUAGGAAUGUGAAGAAGCAGGAGAGCUUAUAGGCGUUGACAUGGUUUUCCUCGAUGAGAAGGUUACUCUCAUUCAACUCCUCUAUUUCAAUUUGUUUAUCAAUUUCGAUUCACUUAAGCAAUGAAAACUAUCAGACUGCUUAGUUUUUUUUUCAGUCGACUUUGGUCCACGGAUUUAUUGGGGCUCAAAGACUCAACUCUUUCUAGACCCAACUGAAUAAAUCAGGUUUCAGAAAUAUGAACAGAGCCACGGCUCUAACUAAUCCUAACACUAUUUCACCGGAUAAUUCUUUAUCAUAUUAGGUGGUCAAUAAUAUUGCAUCUGUAUUCUACAUUUGUUACCAGUAUUUGCUACAUAUAUUUUUGGUGAAGCAUGUGGCAUCAAGAGAACCUACAACGACAAAAAUCAGGCUAUCCAACGUGUAUCCAAGUAGACGGGAGAUGGUCUGAGCCGCAUUGUUCCUAUCUAUGAAGGUUAUGCCCUUCCACAUGCUAUCAUGUGUCUUGAUUUUGAGGGUCUUGACGUCACUCAUGCGUUGAUGAAGAUCUUAACCGAGCGUGGUUAUUAUUUCACCACCACAUCAGAGCGUGAAAUUGUCUCAGAUGUAAAAAUAAGCUUUGCGACAUCGGUCUUGACUACAAGCAAGAGCUUGAGAAAGUCAAAAGUAGCUCAUGUGUUGAGAAGAACUACGAGCUACCUGAUGGGCAAGUGAUCACCAUUGGUUCUGAGCGGUUCGUUGUCUACCACUACCACUAGAGCUGUAAUAGCUGAAGUGGUCCUCGGAAGCGAAAAGACCAGACGGAGACACCGAGGCGGGAAUGACAACCCGAGCACCACCUCGCCGCCUGUGACCUUUGAGAACCAAAUGUCAAGACCAACCUGUGAAGGCCACGCUCCGGUGUCAGUGGAGAGAGGCCGAAAAAACUGAGCGCUUGAGACCAAACCAAGCAAAAAGCGAACGCCUAAGCAAGGAGAGCUAGCAAAGAAGCCGAAGGGAAGGAUCCGAAGCUCUGGAUCGAGAGGCUAGCUUCAAUGGAGUUAUGACAUCUAGAGCGAAGAGAGAGAAUCUGUUUUGUUUGUCUUUUUGACAUAGGGGAGUGGCAAAGGCUUGACCUCCAGCCCUACAAAAUAUGGGGGUGUUAAGAAAAUUGAUCAAAUGGUAGCAGAGCUUAAUGACUUCGUCCUGAAAUCUCCUACUCAGGUACGCCGUUAAUCAAAUAUAAUUGAUCUCCGGAAAUUAUAGGGUGGGUUUACAUCAUUCACAUGGGCUUCCUGCAAUGAGGCCGCAGGUGUACAAGACCCACAGGAUUGUGACCUUCCACAAUGCUUAUAGGAGAUUGUUGGGAGCACUUUAACCUUCCAAUUGAACCUACCUAACUUCAACUUCACUGCAAAACAUCAGAGCUUCACCGUCUCUUGCAUUCUUGACAACAACCAGCGCCCUCCCCAGCAUAAUUUUGAGGUUCAUGGUGGGAAUGACAACCCUGAAGAUAAUAUGCCAGAUGCUGGAGCAAUCAAAGAAACCACAGUAUUGGACUUAAGAGCACACUGUGAAUGAUGGUAAUGUUGAAGGUGGAAGAGGUGAGGCAUCAGAUCCACGUGACAACUCUGUUGAAGGAAGCAGCACAGGAGAGGGGGCACCUGUGGAGGAAGAUUGGGAUUGUGCAGAGAAGACACGAAAUGAGUAAAAACGUUAAAAGAUCAAGGGGUGCUUAAGUUGCAAGACAUGAUGGCUUUUUCUAUGCAUUAGUUUUUAAAUAAGAUUUCCACACACUUACGUCUGAGUACUACAAAAUUUCUGUUAUUUCCAGUUUUUUUUAUUGUAAUUUAUUUCCAGUUUUUUGUUUAGAACAUUUUAGUCAUAUCAGUCUUCUUUUUGCAUUUAAAAAUAUUAAUAUCAUGUUCUCAAA